GUUUUUGGCUUUUCUGCCUGCAAAAAUCAUCAUCACUUGUAAAUUGAGGCAUCUCUUCUUAUCUGGUCUGCAGCCAGAGGGGCUGGAAGCAAUAGAAGAAGUGUGAACUUUCUCCUUCAUCUCAGAGAACAUUAACUUCAAAGCCCAGCCAUAAACUUUCAGAUGUAAUGACUAUUUGUCCAAAAGAGAAACACAUCAGCUUGAUCAAUGACUGAAAGGUAUAAAACACAGGGGUUACAUUUGCGAAACACUUGUGAAAAAUACACAGCUAUAGUUGGGUGCAGGGGGGGAUGUAAGUUGUUACUGGAUGAUUUGGGCAGGGAGGCCCUAGGAGCAGAGCCAAGAUUGUUGUAGGUCUAGCACUGAGUGGUUUCUGUCCCCAAGGCUGCCAUGUCAGAGCAUUCCUCAGCGUGCCUUUGGGUGCUGACCUUCAUCACAGAGCGGGGACCCUGUGGCUGUGUUGGCAGCUGAACCACCCCGACUUUUCCCAGUGAACAGCAGGAUAAACAUCUCCCCUCUCGGCUGCUUGGGCAGGGUGUUUGGGACCACCAGCACUUGCUCCUGUGUCCUUGCUUGAGCUGUGUGAGCAAUGACCCCCCGGAGGAAAAGCACCCUUGGGCACAGCCACCUUGUCCCCUGAGCAUCGCUGAGCUCCAGGCAGGGCGAGGGGUCCCCUGGCAGCCCGGCAGCGCUAACACAGCGAACACACACACACAGAGGUUUCAGACAACUCCGGUGAGAUUCUCCCUCCCUGCAUCCUUACUUUUUUUUAGCAUACUUUCCACUUUUCUGUUGAAAAUUCCCUGGAAAAGAAGAGUAAGAAUGUCUUUGUUUUUCCGUGGCUUGCAGAGGAAUCUGGAGGGAAGAGAACUUACAUUAUGUGACAUUUUUUUCCCCAGGGUAACCACUGCACAUGUCCUUCCUGAGACCAUCCCUUCACCCCUCAGCCAUUAGGGCUGUGUGAGGAGCGCAGACCCUGUCCUCUUCCCAGACAGUGGGUGCAUGGCCCCUCUGCAUGGCACACAGCACCUGGAGAGAGCACCUUGCAGGAUUAAUCAGCUAUUUGGUGAUAGUGUUUUUAAAGGAAGUAAUUGGGAGGUCUUGCUGCAAGGCACCAGCUCCCGCUCGCUGGGGCGCUGGGGCUGGGGGAUGCAGCCCAGGCCUGUGUGAUUCCUGCCCAAGGAUGGAGAGAGCAAAAUGCUGGAGUAUGAAGAGAGGUUUUGAAAGGCCUGUAACAUCUUCUGCCAACAUCUUUUUUGAAUCAGCCCUGCGUGAACAAGGCCAGGAGAACUGUGUCAUCCUGCAGGACAGCCGGGCUCGCUGUGGGGCAGCCCCAUGUGGGAUGGGGGACAGAGGGCUGCCACCACUGCUGGGGAGCAACAUGUCAGUGCCUGGGCUGCUGGCUGUUCUAUGGACUUCGCUGCACCUCACUUUCCCCCUGCCCUGUCCCCUCACCCC
This 1458-nucleotide long non-coding RNA is filed under the name Strigops habroptila (Kakapo). RNAcentral describes it as "lncRNA (ENSSHBG00005015759.1)". Lineage: Eukaryota; Metazoa; Chordata; Aves; Psittaciformes; Psittacidae. The record is from RNAcentral.